Molecule: long non-coding RNA, 686 nt
Filed under: Equus asinus (donkey)
Lineage: Eukaryota; Metazoa; Chordata; Mammalia; Perissodactyla; Equidae
Description: lncRNA (ENSEASG00005036902.1)
Source: RNAcentral
CAAGGUGCAGUCGCAGCGUCCUUGGCGACCUAACUGACCCUCCGAAGGUACCCUGGGGGACGCGGAGGCCGGGAGAGGGCGGCACCUCUAGGCUGAGUCCUGUGCCCGGAGAGUCAGGGUCUCCUUCUUCCAGGCCACCGCGGGCGUGCCUGGGCGUCCUGAGGGGCAGUCGUGAUAUGGGCUUUGUUUGCAGAUUCCUCCUCUGGCCCUCGGGGGCUGCUCUCCUCCUCCCUUUGCAGGCCUGCUCUGCACUCAGCGUUCACCUAGACUCUGGAAGUUGACGCUCCAAGUCCACAGGAGGAAGCUGCAUCACAAGGCACCUGCAGUCACCCACGAGCUACUUUGCCACCACUGCUUAGGUGUGGUGCCUGCACACAUAGGGUGGCCUGGUUGAGUUGGUACUUUGGGAGUUUCUGUGAACAUCUGGCAACCUCCUCACUUGCAUUCAUAUCACAAGCCAGAAUAGCACCGUCAGUUGGGGGCGGAUCAGUGCUCAUUUCCAUGUUUCCAUCUCCUGAGUCUCAGUAACAUCUUCUUUACUGUCCUCAGUCUCUGAGCAAACAAGCAAUGACCCCCGCGCCAGGCCCUCCACAGCUUGAGGGACGGCAUCCAAACGUCACACUGUGGCUGAGUGACACUGUGUGGUCCAGCUUAUUUGUUUAUGAGAUUCAGGUGUGGGAGAUCUG